RNAcentral lists this non-coding RNA (156 nucleotides) under uncultured Blautia sp. RNAcentral's name for it is "FMN riboswitch (RFN element)". It matches the Rfam family "FMN riboswitch aptamer (RFN element)". Rfam says of the family: The RFN element is a highly conserved domain that is found frequently in the 5'-untranslated regions of prokaryotic mRNAs that encode for flavin mononucleotide (FMN) biosynthesis and transport proteins. This element is a metabolite-dependent riboswitch that directly binds FMN in the absence of proteins. The record is from RNAcentral. Lineage: Bacteria; Bacillati; Bacillota; Clostridia; Lachnospirales; Lachnospiraceae.
UUCUUCGGGGCAGGGUGCAAUUCCCUACCGGUGGUAAAAGGUAGCCCGCCCUCUCAAACGGAGGAGCACUGCCGGCGGUUAUAGUCCGCGAGCCGUAUAAAGCGGUUGAAUUGGUGCAAUUCCAAUACCGACAGUAUAGUCUGGAUGAGAGAAGAA